RNAcentral lists this ribosomal RNA (609 nucleotides) under Triticum aestivum (bread wheat). RNAcentral describes it as "partial small subunit ribosomal RNA". The record is from RNAcentral. Lineage: Eukaryota; Viridiplantae; Streptophyta; Magnoliopsida; Poales; Poaceae.
AUGGGUGUUGUCGCUGAAAUAGAUAAACGCUGCAGAGCCUUUUUUUGGGCGGGUCAAGACAAAGUUUCGGGAGGUCAAUGCAAAGUUGCUUGGGAUUUUGUGUGUGCGCCUUUCACUCGUGGGGGACUAGGUUUCUCUUCUCUUCAACACCUCAACUCUUGCCUACGUCUCUCUCAUUUAACCAAGCUUCACUCACGCUCCACGGCUCGCGGGGUUUCUCCGUUGGCUGCUAGAUAUGGGUGGUCCGACGACCAGGACCUAGGCACUACUCAUGCUUAUGAUUCCCAUGUGUGGCGUGAUAUCGCCAAGGGGAUCCCCCUCUUUCGUAACUUAAUGCAAGUGGACGUCGGCAACGGUACCUCCACCGCCUUUUGGCUUGAUCUUUGGGUUCCGUGCUCUACAGAUAUUCUUGCUUCACAGUAUCCUGCUCUGUUCUCUCAUGUUCUCCGACCCUCGACUUCUGUUGCCAGGGUUCUAAGCUCGCCGGAUCUGUGCCUCGACCUCGCUCCACGCCUAACUCAUGCUGCUGAACUUGAACUGGGCUACCUGCGCAACUUGCUGGCUUCCGUUUCCUUGAAUUUGCAGGAACCAGACCGACGAACAGGAUGA